Molecule: long non-coding RNA, 151 nt
Organism: Hibiscus syriacus
Lineage: Eukaryota; Viridiplantae; Streptophyta; Magnoliopsida; Malvales; Malvaceae
Exons: 3
Source: RefSeq, a predicted model, not a curated record
CACUGAUUCAAAAUAAUGCAGUAAACUAGACCCCAGAUACACUGGCAUAGAAACAAUAGUUGAAUAUUUGCAAUUUAUCCAGUGCCCAUUGGUGACCUAAACAUGCCUUUUCCUGCCAAAUAAAAACAUGGGACCAACCAUAGAUGAUUAU